AUUGCCCUAGUAACGGCGAGUGAAGCGGGAACAGCUCAAAUUUGAAAUCUGGCCCUUUUGUCCGAGUUGUAAUUUGCAGAGGAUGCUUUUGGUGCGGUGCCUUCCGAGUUCCCUGGAACGGGACGCCUUAGAGGGUGAGAGCCCCGUACGGUUGGCCACCAAGCCUGUGUAAAGCUCCUUCGACGAGUCGAGUAGUUUGGGAAUGCUGCUCAAAAUGGGAGGUAUAUUUCUUCUAAAGCUAAAUACUGGCCAGAGACCGAUAGCGCACAAGUAGAGUGAUCGAAAGAUGAAAAGCACUUUGAAAAGAGGGUUAAAUAGCACGUGAAAUUGUUGAAAGGGAAGGAUUUAUGACCAGACUUUUUCUGGGGGGAUCAUCCGGUGUUCUCACCGGUGCACUUCCCCCAGUUGAGGCCAGCAUCGGUUUCUGCCGGGGGAUAAAAGCUUCGGGAAUGUGGCUCCCUUCGGGGAGUGUUAUAGCCUGUUGCAUAAUACCCUGGCGGGGACCGAGGUUCGCGCAUUGCAAGGAUGCUGGCGUAAUGGUUAUUAAUCACCCGUCUUGAAACACGGACCAAGGAGUCGAACAUUUGUGCGAGUGUUUGGGUGUUAAACCCUCACGCGUAAUGAAAGUGAACGGAGGUGAGAGCCUUUCGGGGUGCAUCAUCGACCGAUCCUGAUGUCUUCGGAUGGAUUUGAGUAAGAGCAUAACUGUUCGGACCCGAAAGAUGGUGAACUAUGCGUGGAUAGGGUGAAGCCAGAGGAAACUCUGGUGGAGGCUCGCAGCGGUUCUGACGUGCAAAUCGAUCGUCAAAUCUGCGCAUGGGGGCGAAAGACUAAUCGAACCAUUGACCAGCGGUCAAAACAAUCACUAGGUGGUUAAGAGGGGGCCCGCGAGGGCCAUGGAGAAAAACCUAG
Molecule: ribosomal RNA, 912 nt
Filed under: Arthrinium sp. KUC21232
Lineage: Eukaryota; Fungi; Ascomycota; Sordariomycetes; Amphisphaeriales; Apiosporaceae
Description: eukaryotic LSU rRNA
Rfam family: Eukaryotic large subunit ribosomal RNA
Source: RNAcentral